UACGGGGGGGGGCAAGCGUUGUUCGGAAUUACUGGGCGUAAAGGGCUCGUAGGCGGCCAACUAAGUCAGACGUGAAAUCCCUCGGCUUAACCGGGGAACUGCGUCUGAUACUGGAUGGCUUGAGUUUGGGAGAGGGAUGCGGAAUUCCAGGUGUAGCGGUGAAAUGCGUAGAUAUCUGGAGGAACACCGGUGGCGAAGGCGGCAUCCUGGACCGACACUGACGCUGAGGCGCGAAAGCCAGGGGAGCAAACGGG
This 254-nucleotide ribosomal RNA is filed under the name uncultured bacterium. RNAcentral describes it as "partial 16S ribosomal RNA". It matches the Rfam family "Bacterial small subunit ribosomal RNA", at positions 524 to 776 of the family's 1533-position model. The record is from RNAcentral.